GAAGUGGAAUAAUCAAAACUAAGCUUCUAACUUAGUUUACCAGUGGUGAAAGCCCAUUGACACUUCU
This 67-nucleotide transfer RNA is filed under the name Hemisodorcus macleayii. RNAcentral describes it as "tRNA-Ser". The record is from RNAcentral. Lineage: Eukaryota; Metazoa; Arthropoda; Insecta; Coleoptera; Lucanidae.